UACGGGGGGAGCAAGCGUUGUUCGGAUUCAUUGGGCGUAAAGGGCGCGUAGGUGGCUUGGUUAGUCCGACGUGAAAUGUACCGGUUCAACCGGGGCACUGUGGCGGAAACUGCCGAGCUUGAGGCCGAGGGAGGAAGGUGGAAUUCCUGGUGUAGCGGUGAAAUGCGUAGAUAUCAGGAGGAACACCCGUGGCGAAGGCGACCUUCUAUCUCGGAUCUGACACUGAGGCGCGAAAGCCAGGGGAGCAAACGGGAUUAGAUACCCCGGUAGUCCUGGCCGUAAACGAUGGGCACUAGGUGUGGGAGGUAUCGACCCCUUCCGUGCCGCAGCUAACGCAUUAAGUGCCCCGCCUGGGGAGUACGGCCGCAAGGUUGAA
RNAcentral lists this ribosomal RNA (376 nucleotides) under uncultured bacterium. Its description in RNAcentral is "bacterial SSU rRNA". It matches the Rfam family "Bacterial small subunit ribosomal RNA", at positions 524 to 898 of the family's 1533-position model. The record is from RNAcentral.